AGAUUUAAAAUUUUGACAUUAUUUCAAAAUUUUGAUAUAAAUUUUUAAUAUUUAAUUUUUAAUUUGAAUUUAAAUUAAUAUAUUAUAAAGAUAAUAUUAAUAUAUUAAUUUGAUUACGUUUUUUAUAUCUAUCUGAACCAAACACUGACAAUGGGAAUGAUUUAUUCCGAUUCCGAUUCAGGUGAUGAACCAAACAGAAUUAGAUAAUGAGUCAUUCUGAUUCCAAUUCUAACUUAUUUUGAUUCCGAUUUCGAUUCCGAUCCAACUUCGAACCAAACACGCCCUAAGUCGACAUGCCACUUGUUCAUGUUAAGUGUCUCUGCUACACUAGUUCAAUGUCGCUUGUUUUCAUCAUCACGAGUCCAAGUUCAUCAUCAUUCUUGCUACUACAGGAUUCUUGACACAAGACCCAAUCCUCAUGCAAACCUAAGUUCAAGUGUCAAGCCCACAAUGCUACACUACCUAGGAAACAUGCAAGAAAAUGGAAAUGCAACCAUCCACUAAUCCUAUAAUGCACUAUGUCAAUAUAUGAAUAUGAUCAAUAUACAAUUUAGACAUAAAAGGAAGUCCAGUUGCUUCAGGAUGGACACCCCCCACCUUUAGUUGAUGCCACGAGUCCACGAAUCCGAUCUCUCGAUUUUUGGAAGCCUACGCCGCGUGCUGCGGCAAUCUGUACCGAAACAGGCCUUUUCGCCAAUAUCUUCGCGUAUCUUCGUCGGAUUGCCAAACCGACUUCGCCAACGCGUUAAAAUAUCUAGCAAUUAGGUUUACAUAGGUUCAAUUUAGAUCAAACCCAUACAUUUACAAAAACCUCAUUUGGAACCCUAACAUAGAACCAAUGCAAGAAUCCACCAUUAACUCUCUAGAUUCAAGCAAUAAACAUCUACUUAGCACCCUAGAGUUCCAAAAAAUCCAUUUCUA
RNAcentral lists this long non-coding RNA (921 nucleotides) under Ananas comosus (pineapple). Its description in RNAcentral is "long non-coding RNA (ACOM_LNC007278)". Lineage: Eukaryota; Viridiplantae; Streptophyta; Magnoliopsida; Poales; Bromeliaceae. The record is from RNAcentral.